CCAAAGGCUCUUUUAAGAGCCACCACACACUCUACUCCAGAGCUAUU
This is a non-coding RNA of Oryzias latipes (Japanese medaka), 47 nucleotides long. NCBI's taxonomy places the organism in Eukaryota, Metazoa, Chordata, Actinopteri, Beloniformes, Adrianichthyidae. The record is from Rfam.